This 482-nucleotide ribosomal RNA is filed under the name uncultured bacterium. RNAcentral describes it as "partial 16S ribosomal RNA". It matches the Rfam family "Bacterial small subunit ribosomal RNA", at positions 28 to 507 of the family's 1533-position model. The record is from RNAcentral.
GACGAACGCUGGCGGCGUGCUUAACACAUGCAAGUCGAACGAUGAAGAAGAGAAACGCGCCCUUCGGUUCAAAUUUCACUUCGGAUUAGUUGCAGACGGGUGAGUAACGCGUGAGCAACCUACCUCUUACAAAGGGAUAGCCUCGGGAAACCGUGAUUAAUACCAUGUGACACAUUCAUAAGGCAUCUUAAGAAUGUUAAAGCUACGGCGGUAAGAGAUGGGCUCGCGUCCCAUUAGCUAGUUGGUGAGGUAACGGCCCACCAAGGCGACGAUGGGUAACCGGCCUGAGAGGGUGAACGGUAACAGUGGAACUGAGACACGGUCCAAACUCCUACGGGAGGCAGCAGUGGGGAAUAUUGCACAAUGGAGGGAACUCUGAUGCAGCGACGCCGCGUGAGCGAUGAAGGAAUUCGUUUCGUAAAGCUCUGUUCUAUGGGAAGAAAAGGACUGUACCAUAGGAGAAAGCCCCGGCUAAAUACGUG